CAGCAGCUGCAUCUCUCACCUUCCCUUCCCUUUUCUUCCACCCUCUCCUCACCUGCUGUAGAGAGCAGGCACUCCAGGUGGGUUGCACAGCAAGUGCAAGAGGGGACUGACUGAAGGAACAGGUGCUUUCCCAGCAGAACUUCAGAUGUGCCUUGUGUUAGGAGGAAGGGGGAGCAGAUGAAAGAAUCAGGGAAAGAACAGACAUGAAAAGCCUUUUUCACUGCUCCAUUUCUGAAAAAGAAAAAGGUUUCAGCUUUACAGGGAAGGUGGUUUGUUCUAGCUGCAAAAUCGCUUGGCAUUCUUAGAAGGAAGCUGCUUGUAGAGAUAAUUAAAUUAUACAAAAAAUACCAGCUAAGGUGAGUCCUAUUGCCUUUAACUUUAGUUUCCUGUGGGAGCUCUUACCACCAGAGAAAAGGACUAGAUUUUGCACUGUUUUUCAGCACAGUUCCCAGGAACUAUGCUAAUUGAUCUCUACUUUGAUCCUUUAUCAUCUGCAGGUCCAGACUCUAACAAGAUGAGGUCAUAAAUUAUGUCAGUUUAAAAGGAUCCAUACUGCAAAAAAAAAAUGAUUUGUUGUUAUUCUUACAGAAAGGACAAUGAAAACAAAUAUGAAGGUUUUAUUUUGCAUAUAUACAAAGGCAUAAACAAAAAUUAACUAAAACAUGAACACUUUUUUUCUUAUUUAAAGAUUCUAGGGUUGUUAUGUGGAGGCAGGCAAUGGCAAACCACCUCUUGUCUUGAAACCCCUCCAGGGCUGCCUUAAGUUGACUGCAACUUGACAGCACUUUCUAUCUUUACAACGAAGACUAUUGUGGGCUUUCCACCAUCUGUAAAUCUAACUCCAAGCAGGGCUCAUUUCGAGAGGGAAUGCACAGGAAUGCAGUUCCAGCAGUUCCCCAAAGAGGUCACAUGUCAGGUGGCCCCGCCCUGACUCUCGGCCAUUUUGGGCCCAUUUUGGCCUGGGUUGGGGCCAAAACGGCUUGGAUCGGGCCUCUGACGGGUGGUGGAUCACUCUCCCGCUCAUCAGCAGCCUGAUCCUGACCAUUUUGGGCCCCUUUUCAGCCAUUUUCAGCCCCUUUUUGCCAUUUUGGGCCCGAUUUCGGCCCUGAAUGGCCAGGACUGGGUCCAAAACAGCCAGAAUAGGUGAUGUCAGGAGAUGUGGCAUACGCAAAUCAGCUAUACUAAUGACGCACUUCCAUUGGUAGCAAGAGGCGUGGCAUAUGCUAAUAAGUUAUGCUAAUGAGUUCCUCCAGCUCUUUUUCUACGAAAUGACCUCUGACUCCAAGUAUCUGGGUUUGCCUAGGUGCAAUUAGAUAUCAGUAGUAUAUAAUUUUGCUAAUGAUGUCCAUGACAGAGUAAAAAUUACAGCACAUUUGUAUAAGGAAGGAAGAAUAAAAAGAUUCUAAAUUUGCACGGGGUCUGUUGCCCUAGUUUAUGCAGUCACUUUAAAAAAAAAUCCAAUUGAACUAGUAAGGGUAUUAAUCCAAGUGUCCUAAACUGAUGUGCCAGCAAAAUUUCAAUACAAAAGCCAUCUUGCUGCAGAUUUUUCUCAGCAGGCAGGCCAGAAUUUCAGCUCAGAUAAUUGCAUUCAGCUUCAUUGAAUUCCCCCCUGCAUUUCCAGAACUGGAGGUGACAUCCGUCUUUUCUUUGCAAACUCAAAAUGUAGUGUUGUGCUGCUGCUGGCUUUGUAACAGCUCCCAUUUUCUGCUUCAGGGAUGGGUUUUGUGUCUGUGGCGAUGGGAUUUGUUUGCUUAGUCAGCCUAUGAUGAAAUAGGAAGAAAAGUUCUGAACUGUGAGGAAAAAAUGUAAAGAUUUGUUCUUAGUCAAGUGUGGGUGUGAAAAAAAGAAGAAAAGAAAAUGAAAGUGUGCCUGAGAAAAGGAGACAAUAGCUAGGACUGGGAUUUCAUUUAUAUCCCAUCCCUCUUGUAAGGAUCUCAUGGUGGCCCACAUGGUCUUCUAAGGUUUCCUACUGGCCUGUAGAAAAAUCUCGUCUCUUUAAUAAUAAAUGUGUGUGGAAAUGGGCAUCUGGAGCUUUUCAUGGCAGGGAGGAAAAUAGAACCAUCUGGUAAAUAACAUCUCAUGAAACCUCUGUUAAACAGACAGGACGGUUUUCUCCAGGCAGUUGGCAACCUAUCUCCCCUCCCCAUUUUGCCCUCAUAACAAAAACUCUGUCAAGUAGAUGCUGAGAGAGAAUGACUGGCCGAAGGUCACCCAGUUAGCUUGUUGGCACAGGGAUUUGAACCCGGGUUUCCCAGAUUUAGUUGGGCAUUCUAACUACAGUACUACACUGGCAUCAUUUAGGAAGGCUCACUAUAAAGACUUAAGGCCAGGAUCUAACCUUUCCUGUGUGGAUACCUAAGGCACCUUGGCACAUACUAGGGGAGGGGGGGACUUCAGUGCUUUUUACUUUAUUUUUUACUUUUUAGUGUCACAGUUCUAUUAGAUACCACACUGUAAGAUGCCUGUUCAGGAAUGGCUUGGGCUGACAUGGAGAACAACUUGGUAAGUUAUUUUUUUCACAGCCUUUUUAAUCUUGUAAUUUGUACUGGAAACACAUCUUCCCACAGGUGACUAACUUCAAAGUUGGGCCUGGAGUUGUCCUGGAAUUACAGCUGAUAUUUAAACUGCAGAGAUCAGUUCCUGUGGAGGAAAUGGCGGCUUCAAAUGAUGCACUCUGCGGUAUCCCAUCCGGCUGCACUUCCUCCUCUCUCCAAACUCUUCCCCCAGACACUGCUCCCAAAUCUCCAGGAAUUUUCCAAGCAAGAGUUGGCAAUGCUACCCAGAAUUACCACUGAUCUCCAAAAUGCAUAGAUCAGUUCCUCUGGAGGAAAUAGUUUAGGUAGAUACUAGAGAGCCAGUUUGGUGCAGUGGUUAAGAGCAUGGGACUCUAAUCUGGAGAGCCGGGUUUGAUUCCCUACUCCUCCACUUGAGGCCAGCUGGGUGACCUUGGGUCAGUCACAGCUUCUAGGAGCUCUCUCAGCCCCACCCACCUCACAGGGUGAUUUGUUGUGGGGAUAAUAAUGACAUACUUUGUAAACCACUCUGAGUGGGCAUUAAGUUGUCCUGAAGGGCGGUAUAUAAAUUGAAUGUUGUUGUUGUUGUUGUUAUUAUCUUAAACAGGCAAAACAGCUGCUGCAUCACUGCUUAGGGCCAGGCCAAAUCCCCCUCCUUCUAUGUACUGUUUUCUGUCCUUCCAUACUACAUCUCCUGGCAGGUAGUGCUUCCAAUUCUGGCGUUUAUAACCAUUACUAUACCUAAGAACAAGACAUCUACCUCAUAGGAUCAGUGUGAGAAUGAUAUAGGGCGAGGGAUAAGAUUGCCAACACUGCCUUAGCAAAUGCAGGGAGAUUUGGGAGAUAGUGCCUUGGGAGGGUAGAGUUUGGGUAAGAUAUGAUGUCACUUCUGGGUGACCCUCUAGGCUGCCUCCUCUUGUCUCUGUGGUCUUUCCCAUAGAGACUUGGGAAAUUUCUAGAGCAUCACUAUGUGAAGGCCAUUUUUCCCUCCCACUUUGGGGCUUGAGGAGUGGUAAUUCCAUGCCCUGGGUGGGUAAAUGAGAGUCCCAGGGUGAGAAAACUAUGUAUGCCAUAGGAAUGCCAAGCUACCACCUGGCACCCAGGGAGCUUUAGGAGUGGGCAAGGGGUGGAAGUGAUGCCAUACAAUGUAUCGACUUCAUGUCUGGCCCAAACACAGGCAUAGUGUCAGUGAACUGGAUGAUGGUCUGGAAACUCUAGGAGUGUCAUCUGAUGUACUGAUGUCACAUCUGGGUUUUUGGCCAGAUGUCACAUCGACUUGCAACAUCAUUUCUACCCCACCCAUUGCAUUCUCUUGCCGAUCAAGAGGCAAGGAUAAGUGGGAAGCCUUGCCAGUGGGAGAAUACCUACCAGAACCAGGUAAAUGUCAUACCAGGUAGGCCAUCCUGCACCUUUGGAGAAAGGGUAAAAACGGAUAAAUGGAUAGCAGUUCUGUGUAUCGUGUUGAGUUUUCCCCUCAUCCCGGAAGACAGAGGUGUAGAGUGCAUGAUGCUGGAACUGUGAUUUCGUUUAACUGUAUGUUUCUAAUUUUUGCACGUUUCUCACACAUUUUCUUGAGAAGUGCUGCUAUACUGUUUUAAAUAUUUAUGUUGGUUUAUCUGUAUUUUAAUGUAUAUAUAUUUUAAUGUAUUAUAUUGUAUGUAAUCCGCCCUGAGAUUACUGUUGUGGGGAGGGCGGAAUAUAAAUUGAAUAAAAUAAAUAAAUAAGCACUUCUUCCCAGA
Eublepharis macularius is the source of this 4252-nucleotide long non-coding RNA. RefSeq lists it as uncharacterized. Lineage: Eukaryota; Metazoa; Chordata; Lepidosauria; Squamata; Eublepharidae. The record is from RefSeq and is a predicted model, not a curated record. The transcript is spliced from 2 exons.